UGGUCUCUAACAUCUCAAGACAUGAUAUCUAAAAAUGAUACGAGAUCCUAAACCAUGUCUUACCGUCCAUAUCUUAACGUUCACGAAAACCUCGUAAAAGUAAACAAGCGACUUUUACGAAAAAUCACAUCUCAAGCGAACCACCAGAUUGAACAUCUCGUUAGAAGUAAAUAUGAGACGACAACUCAUAUUUAUUUCACAUAAUCAAAAUAAGGUACUUCGAUAAAUAUUCAUCAUAUAUAUAAAACCGCAGAGCGGUAGGGAUUCAAAGCCACCAACGGCCAAUCCCGAUAAAAAACAGCCAAAAAGGCCCACACAAAGUCUCAGCGUAAAGGCCACACUCGGCCAGAUACGAAUAAUAAAGGCCACUCGGCCAUAAACACAAGAUAAGGGGAAAUCGCUCCCCGACAAACAUCGACUUCGAUACUCACAACUUAAAGUUAAAAUUUCCGGACAAGGAAGCUCCGAAUGCAUCCGCGGGAUAGUUCACUUCCUCAUCGUCACCAGCAACCUCAGUCGCGACCUCCUCCAUAUCGGGAGAAACCGGGAUGGGAUCCAAGAAUCCCUAAAUCCUCCCAUCGAUCGGGGGAAUAAGCGCCUCAGCGUGGGCAUUGUCCUUCAUGCCAUCU
Molecule: long non-coding RNA, 629 nt
Filed under: Brassica napus (rape)
Lineage: Eukaryota; Viridiplantae; Streptophyta; Magnoliopsida; Brassicales; Brassicaceae
Description: long non-coding RNA (BNAP_LNC015690)
Source: RNAcentral